This 460-nucleotide ribosomal RNA is filed under the name uncultured bacterium. RNAcentral's name for it is "partial 16S ribosomal RNA". It matches the Rfam family "Bacterial small subunit ribosomal RNA", at positions 338 to 795 of the family's 1533-position model. The record is from RNAcentral.
CCUACGGGAGGCAGCAGUGAGGAAUAUUGGUCAAUGGACGAGAGUCUGAACCAGCCAAGUAGCGUGAAGGAUGACUGCCCUCUGGGUUGUAAACUUCUUUUAUAAAGGAAUAAAACGAGGCACGUGUGCCUUUUUGCAUGUACUUUAUGAAUAAGGAUCGGCUCACUCCGUGCCAGCAACCGCGUUAAUACGUAGGGGGCAAGCGUUAUCCGGCAUUACUGGGGUUAAAGGGAGCGAAUAGGGCAAUGCAAGGCUGGAGUUAAAGCCCGGGGCCCAACCCCGGAACUGCUCUGGAAACUGUGCGGCUAGAGUACUGGAGGGGCAGGCGGAAUUCCUAGUGUAGCGGUGAAAUGCGUAGAUAUUAGGAGGAACACCAGUGGCGAAGGCGGCCUGCUGGACAGUAACUGACGUUGAGGCUCGAAAGCGUGGGGAGCAAACAGGAUUAGAUACCCUAGUAGUC